Molecule: ribosomal RNA, 253 nt
Filed under: uncultured bacterium
Lineage: Bacteria
Description: partial 16S ribosomal RNA
Rfam family: Bacterial small subunit ribosomal RNA
Source: RNAcentral
UACGUAGGGUGCAAGCGUUAAUCGGAAUUACUGGGCGUAAAGCGUGCGCAGGCGGUUGUGCAAGACGGGUGUGAAAUCCCCGGGCUUAACCUGGGAAUGGCAUUUGUGACUGCACGGCUAGAGUGUGUCAGAGGGGGGUAGAAUUCCACGUGUAGCAGUGAAAUGCGUAGAUAUGUGGAGGAACACCGAUGGCGAAGGCAGCCCCCUGGGCUAACACUGACGCUCAUGCACGAAAGCGUGGGGAGCAGACAGG